Molecule: ribosomal RNA, 463 nt
Filed under: uncultured bacterium
Lineage: Bacteria
Description: partial 16S ribosomal RNA
Rfam family: Bacterial small subunit ribosomal RNA
Source: RNAcentral
AGUGAACGCUGGCGGCCUGCUUAAUACAUGCAAGUCGAACGAUGAAGUCCUAGCUUGCUAGGAUGGAUUAGUGGCGCACGGGUGAGUAAUAUAUAGUUAAUCUGCCUUGCACUGAGGAACAACAGUUGGAAACGAUUGCUAAUACCUCAUACUUCAACUUUACAUAAGUUAAGUUGGGAAAGUCUUUUCGGUGCAAGAUGAGACUAUAUCGUAUCAGCUAGUUGGUAAGGUAAUGGCUUACCAAGGCUAUGACGCGUAACUGGUCUGAGAGGAUGAUCAGUCACAUUGGAACUGAGACACGGUCCAAACUCCUACGGGAGGCAGCAGUAAGGAAUAUUGUGCAAUGGGGGAAACCCUGACGCAGCAACGCCGCGUGGAGGAUGACACUUUUCGGAGCGUAAACUCCUUUUGUUAGGGAAGAAUAAUGACGGUACCUAACGAAUAAGCACCGGCUAACUCCGUG